This 1320-nucleotide long non-coding RNA is filed under the name Salmo salar (Atlantic salmon). RNAcentral describes it as "lncRNA (ENSSSAG00000113197.1)". Lineage: Eukaryota; Metazoa; Chordata; Actinopteri; Salmoniformes; Salmonidae. The record is from RNAcentral.
CUGAUGUGGUAUACUCCUCAAUGCCAUCGGAAGAAUCCCGGAACAUGUUCCAGUCUGUGAUAGCAAAACAGUCCUUUAGUUCAGCGUCUGCUUCAUCUGACCACUUUUUUAUUGACCGAGUCACUGGUGCUUCCUGCUUUAAUUUGUGCUUGUAAGCAGGAAUCAGGAGGAUAGAGUUGUGGUCGGAUUUACAAAAUGGAGGGCGAGGGAGAGCUUUGUACGCGUCUCUGUGUGUGGAGUACAGGUGAUCUAGAAUUGUUUUCCCUCUGGUUGCACAUUUAACAUGUUGAUAGAAAUUUGGUAGAACUGAUUUUAGUUUCCCAGCAUUGAAGUCUCCGGGCACUAGGAGCGCCGCCUCUGGGUGAGUGGUUUCCUGUUUGCUUAUUUCCUUAUACAGCUGACUGAGUGCGGUCUUAGUGCCAGCAUCUGUCUGUGGUGGUAAAUAAACAGCCACGAAAAGUAUAGCUGAAAACUCCCUAGGCAAGUAGUGUGGCCUGCAAUUUACCACAAUAUACUCUACUUCAGGCGAGCAAAAUCUAAAGACUUCCUUAGAUUUCGUGCACCAGCUGUUGUUUACAAAUAUGCACAGACCGCUCCCCCUCGUCUUAUCGGAGUGUGCAGUUCUAUCUUGCCGGUGCAGCGUAUAUCCCGCUAGCUGAAUAUCCAUGUCAUCAUUCAGCCACGAUUCCGUGAAACAUAGGAUAUUACAGUUUUUGAUGUCCCGUUGGUAGGAUAUUCGUGAUCGUACCUCGUCUAAUUUAUUGUCCAAUGAUUGUACGUUGGCGAGUAAUAUUGACGGUAACGGCAGCUUUCCCACUCGCCUUCUCCGGGUCCUGACAGGGCAUCCGGCUCUUUGUCCUCUGUACCUGCGUCGCUUCCUCUUGCAAAUAACGAGGAUGUCGGCCUUGUUGUAGAAAAAAUCUUUGUCUAAUCCGAGGUGAGUGAUUGCUGUCCUGAUAUCCAGAAGCUCUUUUUUGCCGUAAGAUACGGUUGCAGAAACAUUAUGAACAAAAUAAGUUAUAAAUAACGCAAAAAAACACAUAAUAGCACAAUUGGUUGGGCGCCAUAAAACUGCUGCCAUUUUAAUCAGGACCAGUGUGGUGGUACAGGCUGGGAAGGCUGAGGGUUAUAUGGACCAGUGUGGUGGUACAGACUGGGAAGGCUGAGGGUUAUAUGGACCAGUGUGGUGGUACAGGCUGGGAAGGCUGAGGGUUAUAUGGACCAGUGUGGUAGGUACAGACUGGGAAGGCUGAGGGUUAUAUGGACCAGUGUGGUGGUACAGGCUGGGAAGGCUGAGGGUUAUAUGGACCAGUGUGGUAG